UACGGGGGGGGCAAGCGUUGUUCGGAAUUACUGGGCGUAAAGGGCUCGUAGGCGGCCAACUAAGUCGGACGUGAAAUCCCCAGGCUCAACCUGGGAACUGCGUCCGAUACUGGAUGGCUUGAAUUCGGGAGAGGGAUGCAGAAUUCCAGGUGUAGCGGUGAAAUGCGUAGAUAUCAGGAAGAACACCCGUGGCGAAGGCGGCUCUCUGGGACGGUACUGACGCUGAGACGCGAAAGCGUGGGGAGCAAACAGG
Molecule: ribosomal RNA, 253 nt
Filed under: uncultured bacterium
Lineage: Bacteria
Description: partial 16S ribosomal RNA
Rfam family: Bacterial small subunit ribosomal RNA
Source: RNAcentral